Molecule: ribosomal RNA, 638 nt
Filed under: uncultured bacterium
Lineage: Bacteria
Description: bacterial SSU rRNA
Rfam family: Bacterial small subunit ribosomal RNA
Source: RNAcentral
GAAAGAAUAUCGGAGACGGAUGGGCAUGCGGCGCAUUAGCUAGUUGGCGGGGUAACGGCCCACCAAGGCGACGAUGCGUAGGGGUUCUGAGAGGAAGGUCCCCCACACUGGUACUGAGACACGGACCAGACUCCUACGGGAGGCAGCAGUGAGGAAUAUUGGUCAAUGGGCGAGAGCCUGAACCAGCCAAGUCGCGUGAGGGAGUACUGCCCUAUGGGUUGUAAACCUCUUUUGUCGGGGAGCAAAAGCCGGACGUGUCCGGCUGUGAGAGUACCCGAAGAAAAAGCAUCGGCUAACUCCGUGCCAGCAGCCGCGGUAAUACGGAGGAUGCGAGCGUUAUCCGGAUUUAUUGGGUUUAAAGGGUGCGCAGGCGGAUUUUUAAGUCAGCGGUCAAAUCGUGGGGCUCAACCCCAUCCAGCCGUUGAAACUGGGGAUCUAGAGUGUGCGAGAGGUAUGCGGAAUGCGUGGUGUAGCGGUGAAACGCAUAGAUAUCACGCAGAACCCCGAUUGCGAAGGCAGCAUACCGGUGCACAACUGACGCUCAGGCACGAAAGCGUGGGUAUCGAACAGGAUUAGAUACCCUGGUAGUCCACGCAGUAAACGAUGAAUGCUACCUGUUUGGCCAGAUUGAAGGCUGA